Molecule: ribosomal RNA, 229 nt
Filed under: uncultured bacterium
Lineage: Bacteria
Description: partial 16S ribosomal RNA
Rfam family: Bacterial small subunit ribosomal RNA
Source: RNAcentral
UACGUAGGCGGAUUAAUAAGUCAGUGGUGAAAACCUGCAGCUUAACUGUAGAACUGCCAUUGAUACUGUUAGUCUUGAGUACGGUCAAGGUAGGCGGAAUGUGUAAUGUAGCGGUGAAAUGCUUAGACAUUACACAGAACACCGAUUGCGAAGGCAGCUUACUGGACCAUUACUGACGCUGAGGCACGAAAGCGUGGGGAGCGAACAGGAUUAGAUACCCUGGUAGUCC